RNAcentral lists this ribosomal RNA (301 nucleotides) under uncultured bacterium. RNAcentral describes it as "partial 16S ribosomal RNA". It matches the Rfam family "Bacterial small subunit ribosomal RNA", at positions 509 to 807 of the family's 1533-position model. The record is from RNAcentral.
CAGUAGCCACGGUAAUACGAAGGGGGCUAGCGUUGCUCGGAAUCACUGGGCGUAAAGGGUGCGUAGGCGGGUCUUUAAGUCAGGAGUGAAAUCCUGGAGCUCAACUCCAGAACUGCCUUUGAUACUGAAGAUCUUGAGUUCGGGAGAGGUGAGUGGAAUUUCCGGUGUAGCGGUGAAAUGCGUAGAUAUCGGAAGGAACACCUGUGGCGAAAGCGGCUCACUGGACCAUUUCUGACGCUGAUGCACGAAAGCUAGGGGAGCAAACAGGAUUAGAUACCCGGGUAGUCCCUGUCUCUUAUAC